AUUGAACGCUGGCGGCAUGCCUUACACAUGCAAGUCGAACGGUAACGGGCCUUCGGGUGCCGACGAGUGGCGAACGGGUGAGUAAUACAUCGGAACGUGCCCGAUCGUGGGGGAUAACGAGGCGAAAGCUUUGCUAAUACCGCAUACGAUCUACGGAUGACAGCAGGGGACCGCAAGGCCUUGCGCGGACGGAGCGGCCGAUGGCAGAUUAGGUAGUUGGUGGGAUAAAAGCUUACCAAGGCGAGGAUCUGUAGCUGGUCUGAGAGGAUGAUCAGCCACACUGGGAAUGAGACACGGCGGAGACUGCUACGGGAGGCGGCAGUGGGGAAUAUAGGAGAAUGGGUGAAAGACUGAUCUAGCAAUGGUGCGGGAGUGAGGAAGGCCGGAGGGAUGUAAAGCUAGUUUAAACGGGAUGGUAAUGACAGGAACGGGAGAAUAAGCUCCGGCUAACUCCGUG
RNAcentral lists this ribosomal RNA (457 nucleotides) under uncultured bacterium. RNAcentral's name for it is "partial 16S ribosomal RNA". It matches the Rfam family "Bacterial small subunit ribosomal RNA", at positions 29 to 507 of the family's 1533-position model. The record is from RNAcentral.